AUGGGAACGCGAAGAACCUUACCUAGACUUGACAUCUCCUGAAUAGUGUAGAGAUACAUGAAGCCCUUCGGGGCAGGAAGACAGGUGGUGCAUGGUUGUCGUCAGCUCGUGUCGUGAGAUGUUGGGUUAAGUCCCGCAACGAGCGCAACCCUUAUUACUAGUUGCUACCAUUAAGUUGAGCACUCUAGUGAGACUGCCCGGGGUUUAACCGGGGAGGAAGGCGGGGUAUGACGUCAAAUCAUCAUGCCCCGUUAUGUCUAGGGCAACACACGUGCUACAAUGGUGAGUACAGAUAGAUGCGAUACCGCAAGGUGGAGCCAAACUCUAAAACCUCAUCCCAGUUCGGAUUGUAGGCUGCAACUCGCCUACAUGAAGUUGGAGUUGCUAGUAAUCGCGAAUCAGAAUGUCGCGG
This 412-nucleotide ribosomal RNA is filed under the name uncultured bacterium. RNAcentral's name for it is "bacterial SSU rRNA". It matches the Rfam family "Bacterial small subunit ribosomal RNA", at positions 954 to 1362 of the family's 1533-position model. The record is from RNAcentral.